UUUGAAUUUUAUUCCUGGCUCCAGGACGACCGCUGGGGGCAUUCCCUAAUACAUGCAAUUCGAACGCUGAAGCACUUUGCUUGCAGAGUGCGGAUGAGUGGCGAACGGGUGAGUAAACACGUGGAAAAUCUGCCUAUUAAGUGGGGGAUAACAUUCGGAAACGGAUGCUAAUACCGCAUACAUUCUUGAACCGCAUGGUUCUUGAAAGAAAGACGGCUUUGCUGUCGCUUAUAGAUGAUCCCGCGGCGUAUUAGUUAGUUGGUGGGGUAAAGGCCUAUCAAGACAAUGAUACGUAGCCGACCUGAGAGGGUGAUCGGCCACACUGGGACUGAGACACGGCCCAGACUCCUACGGGAGGCAGCAGUAGGGAAUCUUCCACAAUGGGCGAAAGCCUGAUGGAGCAAUGCCGCGUGAAUGAAGAAGGUCUUCGGAUCGUAAAGUUCUGUUAUUAGAGAAGAACAAGUCAAGGAGUAACUGUCUUGACUUUGACGGUACCUAACCAGAAAGUCACGGCUAACUACGUGCCAGCAGCCGCGGUAAUACGUAGGUGACGAGCGUUGUCCGGAAUUAUUGGGCGUAAAGGGAGCGCAGGCGGUUGGAAUAGUCUGAUGUGAAAGCCCACGGCUUAACCGUGGAAGGUCAUUGGAAACUGUCCAACUUGAAUGCAGAAGAGGUAAGUGGAAUUCCAUGUGUAGCGGUGAAAUGCGUAGAUAUAUGGAGGAACACCAGUGGCGAAGGCGACUUACUGGUCUGUAAUUGACGCUGAGGCUCGAAAGCGUGGGUAGCGAACAGGAUUAGAUACCCUGGUAGUCCACGCCGUAAACGAUGAGUGCUAAGUGUUAGGGGGUUUCCGCCCCUUAGUGCUGGAGUUAACGCAUUAAGCA
Molecule: ribosomal RNA, 884 nt
Filed under: uncultured bacterium
Lineage: Bacteria
Description: bacterial SSU rRNA
Rfam family: Bacterial small subunit ribosomal RNA
Source: RNAcentral